This 255-nucleotide ribosomal RNA is filed under the name uncultured bacterium. Its description in RNAcentral is "partial 16S ribosomal RNA". It matches the Rfam family "Bacterial small subunit ribosomal RNA", at positions 524 to 776 of the family's 1533-position model. The record is from RNAcentral.
GACAGAGGCCUCAAGCGUUAGGCGGAAUCACUGGGCUUAAAGCGUGUGUAGGCGGAUCGUUAAGUGUCUUGUGAAAUCCCACGGCUCACCCGUGGAACGGCUGGGCAUACUGGCGAUCUUGGGCCAACUAGGGGCAACUGGAACAAGCGGUGGAGCGGUGAAAUGCGUAGAUAUCGUUUGGAACGCCAAAGGUGAAAACAGACAGCUGGGAGUGUGCGAUGACGCUGAGACACGAAAGCCAGGGGAGCGAACGGG